RNAcentral lists this small nuclear RNA (188 nucleotides) under Dermacentor andersoni. RNAcentral describes it as "U2 spliceosomal RNA". It matches the Rfam family "U2 spliceosomal RNA". Rfam says of the family: U2 is a small nuclear RNA (snRNA) component of the spliceosome (involved in pre-mRNA splicing). The record is from RNAcentral. Lineage: Eukaryota; Metazoa; Arthropoda; Arachnida; Ixodida; Ixodidae.
AUUUCGAGAGAGAGUUCUUUCUGCGGUCAAAAUGUAGUAUCGGUUCUUAUCCGCUUAAUAUCUGAAACAGAUUGUGUUUGGACCUAAGAUGUUAAACUUAUGUUUGCAAGUGGCGGAGUGCACAAAGCCUGCUUCACCUCCGCCGCGGGUCGGCCCGGUAUUGCACUAUCUUCGGGAUCGGAAGUGUG